This 1191-nucleotide long non-coding RNA is filed under the name Mytilus galloprovincialis (Mediterranean mussel). The record is from RNAcentral. Lineage: Eukaryota; Metazoa; Mollusca; Bivalvia; Mytilida; Mytilidae.
GUGGGAAAGCCACAGAUCAGUUCUGCGCCUCCUUCCAUAUGACGUAACGGCCAAAAAAUCAAGGGCGACAAUCGCGAUUUUUACAUAGACGGCGACAGUAUCGCGCCAUCUCGGUAAUUUGUUUACAUCGUGUACGUGUGAUUUUUCAAGAAAUUUACUAUUAAAGACAAUUAAACUUGUGUCAUUUCAUCAUUAAUUAGUUAUAUAGGUAAGUUUUACAGGUGACUAUGCUAUAUUUUCUUCUUAGGAGAUUUUAUUUUACAAGAAACAAACAUCUGAAACUGGCAAGACACGUUGUUAUUUUGGAAGAUAAAAAUAUGGCGGGUGUUUUCCGCUUCUGAAAAUAACUGACACAUUUGCAUCCUAUUGGCUAUUUAAAUAUAAAAUGACCAAAAAUAGUAUCUAUGAUGAUAGGAGUCCCUAAAUAUUUGCAUAAAUACCCAUCACUCCUUGUCAAAUUGUAACUGAGGCUGCGAAAAGGAAGCACAUAAAUCGACGCCAUUUUUCAACAGAUUAAGGUUUCUGAGCUCACGAAAUCCUACUAUUAUUACUUUUAAUGGUUAGUAGAAAGAUAUCAACAUUAUCCAUAACAUAAUUCAUUGAUCAGAUCGGGUUAUGGCUAUAUGUUUGCCUCUUUUUCGAUGCUGAAAUCCAUUAAAAUUCCCCCAGACCACACGAAAUAAACGCCCCUUUCUCAGCCCGAGACUUCAAUUUUGAUUAAAACUUGAAUUUUGGCAUGUCAAUGUUAGCAUUUAAAUUUUAAUUAAAUUAUUACGGUUGUGUAAAGCAUUUGUGCUGAUUUGUUUGGUUGUCUCGAAUAGUAAAAGGUUAAUUAAAUGGUUUUAUAUUAUUAUUUUUGAACCCAAAAAGUGUGUGACAAAAACAAAAACAAACAAAAUAAAAUUAUAGGAAAAAUAUAACAACUACUAAGUAUAGUUUAAUUUUAUCCUAAACCUCUAUCCAUCAUUUCUUACAGAUAGUACAGGGUGAGGGUUCACAAAAUAGGGAACCAGGGGUGGAUACAGCCAUUUUGAAAAAGGGGUUCCCUACCCAGGAUAAAAAGGGGGGUUCCAACUAAAUGUCCCCUUUCAAAUGCAUUGAUUGUCCAUAAAAAGGGGAGAUUCCAAUCCCGGAACCCUAUCCCUGGAUCCGCCACUGGGAACUAUGGCUAAAAGUAUAAAAAAAAAUUGA